CUGGGGGCCACAUAACUUCAAUUCUGGUGGAGGGAAUCAGAAGGAAGAUUUUGGUUCCAGGGGCCCUGCAAUGCUGCAGUCCAGUGUUGCCCAGGAGCCCCGCGUUCUCGAGGUCACUGGGCACUUGCUGCAUCUACAAUAAAAUAGAUCCCACUUUUUGUUCCCCCUGGGGAACGCUUGCACCAUUGCUCAAUUGGUUAGAACCCAAAUGGAAACUCCAAACCAAUAGCCAUUCGGUAGAGAAUUCCAUGUGUCUAAAUUGUAGUCUCAAGUAUUGAAUUUGGCAAGGUCUACAGUAUAGGUUGGCCCAAGGAGAAAUGGGCCUGUACGACCCUUUGGAUGGGAUGCUUUUGAGAUCACUUGUAGGAUCAGCUGCAUAGAAGAGACUCAGAACCUGGGAGAAGCUAGAGAAGAUUCCAGACUUGGGAGGCAAUAUGACUUAACCUCUUGAUUGCCCUCCAGGGACUGGCAAAGAUCACCCGGAAGGACAGAAAAUGAAAGGUCCCUGUCACACCUAGAUAAUGCAUCUCAUCCCCUUGCCAGAUUAGAAACUCCUCAUAAUCUGGAGCUGUGUCUUACUCAUCUUCGUAUUCAACUGUCAAGCACAGAGCCUGGCACAAGAUAGGAAAUCAACCCAUAUGUAUUGGGCUGAAUUAAGGCUGGACUGAAGAAGAUAUGGGUGUGAAUUUAAGGAUAGGGUUGAAAGACAUGAGCUCUAUCAGGGUCCAAAAAGAAUUCCCUCAAACUAUCCCUGGUCAUCUCAUUGGAAUAAGAAGCAAAUGGAUAUCACCAAAUGGAAUAGAAUCUUUAAAUACAAAAGAUAUUGUGAAAAGAGAGACAAAAUUAUUAAAGGAAUUGGUUAAUAACAUAAUUAAUUCUAAUUAAUUAGGUUUUCUUUUUCUUAUCUCCCAUGUAUUUUUUUAUACAUCCUUCCAUAAGUGAUUGCAAUAUGGAUCCUCUAGUCCUUCUCUUCCGCUGGUUGUGCUCCAUCCAUGAGCACACAUGCACACGCAUACAUGCAGUUAUCCCUCUCAAUUGUGUAUGUGCUAAGUUGUUAUUCAGAAAGGAAUCCAGGAAGAAAUAGUCCCAAUGAGAUUAUCACCACAAAUCUUUUCCAAGGCCCCAAGACUCUUCCGUCGUGGCCUCUUAAGUGUACACCAAUGAUCCAGAGGCCAGCUGUUUUCUGGAGAUUAAGAACCAGGUAGGUUAAAUUGAUGACCUGAGAUUCUGCCUUGGGGCAGUAACUUCUGCCAAUUAUUGAAGUUACUGCUAGUUUUGAAAAAGUGUUUGCUUUAAAUCUCAAAUAAUGUAAAUCUCACGGGCAGGAAGAGUCCCUCAGCAGCCAUUCCAGCCCCAGUGAGAAACCAGAAAAGAUGCUGAGACAUUAUGAGACAGUGGAGACAGGGAUCUAUCAUUGGACUAACACAGCAAUCAUCUUUAACAUGCAGAGAGGAGAGGAAGACUUGUUUCAUCUCAUUCAUGUUGCAGGGAGAAGCCACCGAUUUGAGUUUCAAAUUACGGCAUAAUAGCUCAUUUAUGCAGAUCAUAAACAAGAUUAUAUAAUGUUGUUAUGAAUGAAAUAUACACACCAAUCUGGGUAGGCCUUCCUCCCUUGUUAAUUCUUGUAUUUUGUUUGUAUUUAAUCUACCAUUAAGAUUGAAAGUCCUACAUUUGUUCAUUCAACCAAAAUUUACUGCACGCACUGUGUGUGUUCUGUGUUAGGCAAUGGGAUCCAGGGAAACUUAGGAGCUUCCAGUCUAUUGCGUGAGAUCAGAUAUGCUCGCAAGCAAAUGCAAUUACCUUCCUCCUGUAAGGGCCAUGUGAGGUGUAUUACUUUCCUUGGGUUCCCAUAAUAAAGUACCACAAACCAGUUGGCUUAAAACAACAGAAAUGUAGUCUCUCAGUUCUGGAGGCCAAAAGUUGGAAAUCAAGGUGUUGGCAGGGCCACGCUCCCUCUGAAAGCUCUAGGCGAGGAUCCUUCUUUGUCCCUUCCUACAUCUCUGCCUUCAGCAACCUCUGGCUUUCUUGGCUCUGGCCUCAUUUUCACUUGGGGCUCUCCCGGUGUGUCUCUGUCUGCCCAGGGCUGCCUUCUUAUAAGGACACCAGUUUUACUGGAUUCAGGGCCUGCCCUACUCCAGUCUGACCUAAACUGAUUACAUCAGUUUAUGUUUACAGUUUACAGCAAUGACCCUAUUUCCAAAUAAGAUCACAUCUGUAGAAUGGAGGUUACGACUUUCUAUCUUUUUGGGGAGCGAAGGGGAGACACAAUUCAAACCACGGCAAAAGAAUCUUUAAAACCUGAUGCCCUCUUGUGAAUGGCAGCAAAGCAUUAAGGGUUUGUUCUUACUCUGCGAGCAGGACUCGAAGCAUCAAUAUAAUCCAGCUCAUCUGACCAAGGGGUCAGCACCUCACAUGGCCCCACAUUGAUCUUUGUCCUCUGAGCAUCAGGGCAGCCCGACCAGAAACCCACGGAGCCUCUGAAGUUGGACUUCUGGGACUGUUCUUCCUUCUCUUUUUCUCCUCUUUCUUUUUCCCGUGGUAUCUUAUGCUAAACCUAGAAUGUACUUUGUAGACAUUAUCCUACAAAUUCUUAAGAGGGGUCUGAAAGUUUUAGUAGUUGGAACGGUUCCACUUCCAGGCAUCUGUAUGUCUUGAGCAAAAAAUAACGUGGGGAUGCCUGUCCUGAGCUGUCUUCUUGGACCCGUGACUGCAGGACAGGGAGGCUUCAUAGGCGAAUUCUAGGGCUGCCAGUAACCCAGGAAAAGGUCUCAUGCCUGCAAACUAGUCUUCAACGCAAGGGCCACUUUUAGUGGGAACUUAUACAGCUUUCCUUGAGGGAGAACCGUUUAUGAGACCAAAAACGAGAAAAAUCAAAUUGCCAACUCCGAAUUGCUCCGCAAUGAGAGUUGCUUUGAGGAUGUUCAUUUCCUGUGACAUCUAGAAGAGGGCUGAUCUAGGUCAUUACUUGGU
Long non-coding RNA from Macaca fascicularis (crab-eating macaque), 2970 nucleotides. The record is from Ensembl. NCBI's taxonomy places the organism in Eukaryota, Metazoa, Chordata, Mammalia, Primates, Cercopithecidae.